GCAAAACGCGAAGAACCUUACCUGGCCUUGACAUGCCACUAACGAAGCAGAGAUGCAUUAGGUGCUCGAAAGAGAAAGUGGACACAGGUGCUGCAUGGCUGUCGUCAGCUCGUGUCGUGAGAUGUUGGGUUAAGUCCCGCAACGAGCGCAACCCUUGCCAAUAAUUGCCAUCAUUCAGUUGGGCACUUUAUUGGGACUGCCGGUGACAAACCGGAGGAAGGUGGGGAUGACGUCAAGUCCUCAUGGCCCUUAUGGCCAGGGCUUCACACGUAAUACAAUGGUCGGUACAGAGGGUAGCCAACCCGCGAGGGGGAGCCAAUCUCAGAAAGCCGAUCGUAGUCCGGAUUGUAGUCUGCAACUCGACUACAUGAAGUCGGAAUCGCUAGUAAUCGCGGAUCAGCAUGUCGCGGUGAAUACGUUCCCGGGUCUUGUACACACCG
Molecule: ribosomal RNA, 440 nt
Filed under: uncultured bacterium
Lineage: Bacteria
Description: bacterial SSU rRNA
Rfam family: Bacterial small subunit ribosomal RNA
Source: RNAcentral